Molecule: ribosomal RNA, 245 nt
Filed under: uncultured Devosia sp.
Lineage: Bacteria; Pseudomonadati; Pseudomonadota; Alphaproteobacteria; Hyphomicrobiales; Devosiaceae
Description: partial 16S ribosomal RNA
Rfam family: Bacterial small subunit ribosomal RNA
Source: RNAcentral
UACGAAGGGGGCUAGCGUUGCUCGGAAUCACUGGGCGUAAAGCGCACGUAGGCGGGUCUUUAAGUCAGGGGUGAAAUCCUGGAGCUCAACUCCAGAACUGCCUUUGAUACUGGGGAUCUCGAGUCCGGAAGAGGUGAGUGGAACUCCGAGUGUAGAGGUGAAAUUCGUAGAUAUUCGGAAGAACACCAGUGGCGAAGGCGGCUCACUGGUCCGGUACUGACGCUGAGGUGCGAAAGCGUGGGGAG